GCCGGCGUGGCGCGAGGAGGCGGCAGGCAGCGGCUCCGAGCUGAGGGGGAGGGCGGCGGGGCACGAAAUGGUGAGGCUGGAUCGGUAAAUAAAUGGACCGGGAAGGGGACGAUGACACACCGCUUGUCCCCGACGGGCGCGAUCAGGGAGAAAACAUCCCCCCAAAAGCACCUGUCCGAGAACCAGCAGCCGGCGGGUUGCAUGCGGCAGGGCAACGGGCCUCGCCCAGGUGGGAGCUCUCUUCCCUGUCCUCCGUGAGGAGAGCGAGCAGCCCCGCGGACACGGACAUCAUCAACACCCAGAGAAAAAAAGAGACUUGGUAUUUAAAUGUCUGGGGGCUUACAGACCAGUUUCAAGCACUGCUGCACUGAGGAAUAGAACAGUACUUUCCUAUCGCUAUGAGGAAAAAGGAAGAGAAAGGUCAAGAAGACUCCAGCCCAGGUGAAGACCCCUCCUCUGAGCAUGCAUAGUGAUUACAAGGAAUGACAAAGAAAAUAUGGAAGAAGUUUCUCAUUCCAUCCUAACAGAGAACAACAAACAUCUUUUUGAAGGAAAAUCAAUCUCCAUCAAAAUACAUAGAAGUAGGAACAUUUUUAACAUUUGCAAAAUCCAAGUUUCUUUGGAAAGAGCGGUGAAUAACACUACUGAGAAGGAGAAACCAGAACACUAUUCCUGUGAACCAUGGCUUUGUAAUAGUCAUGCGCCCUGACUAUCAAGAAAUUACAUAUAUCCUGUUGGCAACCCAAAACCACCCUGACUGAUUAAAAGAUGUUAUAUAGGUAUUAAUUAACUGACCAAACUGUUGCAACAUUUAAACUUCUCUUUCUUGUAUCUACAUCAACUUGAAAGAACUUGUUAUCAUCAAGAUCUUUCAUCAAGAGAACUAAAUGAAGAAAAAUAAAGUGUCCUCUUUUAAGGAAUUAUUAAACAAAAUCCCUGAUGAUCCAAUCUCUUAUUCUAGCAAAUACUUUUAAUGUCAAUUAAACCCAGAUUAUCUUAUGC
Long non-coding RNA from Strigops habroptila (Kakapo), 1002 nucleotides. RefSeq lists it as uncharacterized. The record is from RefSeq and is a predicted model, not a curated record. NCBI's taxonomy places the organism in Eukaryota, Metazoa, Chordata, Aves, Psittaciformes, Psittacidae. The transcript has 3 exons.